This is a long non-coding RNA of Sander lucioperca (pikeperch), 217 nucleotides long. RefSeq lists it as uncharacterized. The transcript has 3 exons. NCBI's taxonomy places the organism in Eukaryota, Metazoa, Chordata, Actinopteri, Perciformes, Percidae. The record is from RefSeq and is a predicted model, not a curated record.
CAGAUUUUGAAAGGUGCCGAGCCGGCCGCUCCUCAGGUGGAGUGUGAAGUGCUGCAGGUCACGUCACGUGUAGAAAUGUCAAGUGGGAGAGAAAAGGAAGGCUGCCUGGAGCUGGAGUAUGCGCCAGCGUCGUAUAAGUCUGGUGUGUGGGAACAUUUUGGAUUUCAUGUUACCUAUGAUGACAGCGGAAAUAAAACAAUAGAUAGAACUGCCACUG